Molecule: long non-coding RNA, 231 nt
Filed under: Hordeum vulgare
Lineage: Eukaryota; Viridiplantae; Streptophyta; Magnoliopsida; Poales; Poaceae
Description: long non-coding RNA (HVUL_LNC016427)
Source: RNAcentral
GUCUUGAGCGCCUUGCGCGCUCAAGAACAAGCAAGGGAUGAGCGCUUUGUUGCUAAAGCGGAUACGUUUUCUUGCUGGGGAAGGCUAAUUUGAUCGAGGAUUGGAGAGGAGGGAGAGGUGGAAUAAAAAGCUCGGGAUGGAUUUUGGAGUCUUUGUGCGAGCCGUAUGCGGUGAGAGUCGCUGCCAGAAUCCAUGUUCCAUAUUUGAAGCGGGUUGACCUCCGUGCUUCUC